Molecule: long non-coding RNA, 787 nt
Organism: Astyanax mexicanus (Mexican tetra)
Lineage: Eukaryota; Metazoa; Chordata; Actinopteri; Characiformes; Acestrorhamphidae
Exons: 3
Source: RefSeq, a predicted model, not a curated record
AGAAUAUGUAAACAAGGCUUGCCGGAAGCGGAGCUGCCUCUUAUGAGAGGAGGUGAAGUAGUAACUAAACAAAAGGGCUCCCAAAGAAAACAAAACUGAACUGAACUGCUUGUGGAUUAAAUGCUGUUCCACCAGAGAGGAGAGGAACAGCGGGAUGGAGAGAGAGAAAGCUCUUGGGGGAAACGAAGAUGUCAGUUGGGAUGUUUUCAAGCAAUCAAGACAACAGGAAGCAGCUCUCUCAUGAUUCCAACUGGCACCAGGCAUCAGGAAUACAUUUAACACCAGAAAGACCGACAACUCUAAUGUUGGAUGGAUGUUGGAAAACUGGCUAGCAUCAUACAGAUGUUAAAUUUGGUUUGGAAUCAGUUACAUAUCCAUAAAAACCCAACACUGAGUUGACACCAAGCUCCAGCGCUUGACAGAUCUUGUAUUUUGGUGGGACAUCAAAGCCUCAAAUCCAUCAAAAACCAAUACUGGGCUGAUGUCAAGCACCAACAUUAGACAGAUGUUGAGUUUUGAUAGAAUGGGAGUCACAUCUCCAGUGUAGACACCAUGACUGAACCAAUAAUGUAUUAAGUUGUGCAGUUAAGCUUAUAAAGUUUAGAAGAUGUUGUGUUUUGGUCAAUAUACUGUACCUCACUACUAAAUAUUGGUAUUGUUUGUCAAUAUGACAUUGGAUUAUGGUAGGUUAACAACACAAAAUAAACUAUAUAUCAAUUACAGCCAUCAUCACUGUUCUACCUAAAUUGGAAUAAAAUAUUUUAGCAUUAAAAUGUGGUAAUCUAAA